AUGCAAGUCGAGGGGUAUAGUUCUUCGGAGCUAGAGACCGGCGCACGGGUGCGUAACGCGUAUGCAAUCUACCUUUUACAGAGGGAUAGCCCAUAGAAAUUUGGAUUAAUACCUCAUAGUAUGUGAGAAUCGCAUGGUUUUCACAUUAAAGUCACAACGGUAAAAGAUGAGCAUGCGUCCCAUUAGCUAGAUGGUAAGGUAACGGCUUACCAUGGCAACGAUGGGUAGGGGUCCUGAGAGGGAGAUCCCCCACACUGGUACUGAGACACGGACCAGACUCCUACGGGAGGCAGCAGUGAGGAAUAUUGGACAAUGGGCGCAAGCCUGAUCCAGCCAUGCCGCGUGCAGGAUGACGGUCCUAUGGAUUGUAAACUGCUUUUGUACAGGAAGAAACACUCCCUCGUGAGGGAGCUUGACGGUACUGUAAGAAUAAGGAUCGGCUAACUCCGUGCCAGCAGCCGCGGUAAUACGGAGGAUCCAAGCGUUAUCCGGAAUCAUUGGGUUUAAAGGGUCCGUAGGCGGUUUAAUAAGUCAGUGGUGAAAGCCCAUCGCUCAACGGUGGAACGGCCAUUGAUACUGUUAAACUUGAAUUAUUAGGAAGUAACUAGAAUAUGUAGUGUAGCGGUGAAAUGCUUAGAGAUUACAUGGAAUACCAAUUGCGAAGGCAGGUUACUACUAAUGGAUUGACGCUGAUGGACGAAAGCGUGGGUAGCGAACAGGAUUAGAUACCCUGGUAGUCCACGCCGUANACGAUGGAUACUAGCUGUUGGGAGCAAUCUCAGUGGCUAAGCGAAAGUGAUAAGUAUCCCACCUGGGGAGUACGUUCGCAAGAAUGAAACUCAAAGGAAUUGACGGGGGCCCGCACAAGCGGUGGAGCAUGUGGUUUAAUUCGAUGAUACGCGAGGAACCUUACCAGGCUUAAAUGUAGUUUGACCGAUUU
RNAcentral lists this ribosomal RNA (940 nucleotides) under uncultured Flavobacteriaceae bacterium. RNAcentral's name for it is "bacterial SSU rRNA". It matches the Rfam family "Bacterial small subunit ribosomal RNA", at positions 55 to 1001 of the family's 1533-position model. The record is from RNAcentral. Lineage: Bacteria; Pseudomonadati; Bacteroidota; Flavobacteriia; Flavobacteriales; Flavobacteriaceae.